RNAcentral lists this unclassified non-coding RNA (936 nucleotides) under Hevea brasiliensis (rubber tree). The record is from RNAcentral. Lineage: Eukaryota; Viridiplantae; Streptophyta; Magnoliopsida; Malpighiales; Euphorbiaceae.
GCUUGGGAGGAACUUAUUUACAGAUGUGAGGAAACUGGAAUUGAUGCCUUUGAAAUCAACUUCUCGUGUCCCCAUGGUAUGCCAGAACGUAGAAUGGGUGCUGCUGUUGGUCAAGAUUGUGAUCUCUUGGAGGAGGUUUGUGGAUGGAUCAAUGCUGUAGCCACAGUUCCAGUUUGGGCAAAGAUGACCCCUAAUAUCACCGACAUUACCAAGCCGGCUAGGGUGGCUCUUAACCAAGGGUGCGAGGGGGUAUCUGCUAUAAAUACAAUCAUGAGUGUAAUGGGAAUCAAUCUCGACACCUUGAGGCCCGAGCCUUGUGUUGAGGGCUACUCUACUCCUGGAGGCUACUCAUCAAAGGCAGUGCAUCCAAUUGCCCUUGCAAAAGUAAUGAACAUUGCACGGAUGAUGAAGUCAGAAUUCGGAGAUAAGGACUAUUCACUCUCUGCUAUUGGGGGAGUUGAGACAGGUGGUGAUGCUGCUGAAUUUCUUCUUCUUGGAGCAAACACAGUUCAGGUAUGCACUGGCGUGAUGAUGCAUGGUUAUGGACUUGUGAAGAACCUAUGCGACGAACUGAAAGAUUUCAUGAAGAAGCAUAACUUUUCUUGUAUAGAAGAAUUCAGAGGGACUUCUCUUCAGUACUUCACCACCCAUACCGACCUAGUACAACGCCAACAAGAGGCGAUCAAACGGAGGAAAGCUAUCAAGAUGGGCUUGCAGUCGGAUAAAGAUUGGACUGGGGAUGGCUUUGUGAAGGAAACCGAAAGCAUGGUCUCCAACUGAUGUAUGAUUGUAAGUAAGUCCGCCUUUCUACUUUUUCUGAUUGUUACUUGGAGAUAAAUAAAAGAUGGAAUAAUGAAGUGUUUCUCCUCAUUUACUGCAACAAUUAAACGAAUUUUACAUUGACAAUUCUGUUGUACGGCAUAGUUCACUGUUGGC